Chiloscyllium plagiosum (whitespotted bambooshark) is the source of this 675-nucleotide long non-coding RNA. RefSeq lists it as uncharacterized. The record is from RefSeq and is a predicted model, not a curated record. Lineage: Eukaryota; Metazoa; Chordata; Chondrichthyes; Orectolobiformes; Hemiscylliidae.
UGACGUUUCACAAUAACUGAGCAAUGCAGGGUGAUGCUUGAUGCUUGGCAGAGUGUUAACUGACACUGUUUGCUGGCUUUCCCAACAAUGCAAAUGCUCCAUACAGUAAAUCACAUGCUACACUGACAGCCUUGAGAAAUGGCAACGCAGAGUCGAGAGAGAGGAGAUUGUAUUUACAUAAUACCGCAGUGUCCAGGCACCUCAUCCACCUUCAUGCUGCUUUUGUCAGAAUUGUGAAGUGACUGCGUCUUAGCUUAAUACAACUUCAGGUUUCCUAAAAAAAUGUGAUCAGCUCUGUGUUUGCUGUUGCAGCCAGCGGGGGAUAUGGAAACUGGUAACAGGAUGGAUAAAGCCACUUUUGUUGAAGAUACUCUCUCCACACUUUGGGAGCUGAGCACAGAGCUUUCUCUCCUGCAACUUGAGCUGCCUGCAAAAGUAUGAACAUCUUACUAGUGUCUGUGGAAGACAGAAUUGUCAGUGUGCUGCAGCCUUGAUGCCACCAUGUUGUUUGUUGACUUUUAAAGUGUUCAGUGAUCUGACUUAUUAAAGUGCUGACAAACAAGGGUACAACAAGAAAUACUGACUGCAACAUCUCUGUUGCCUGUUCUAACUAUUUUUUCAAUUACAGACACUCUUUCACUGUUUGGUCAGUCACUUGUGUCAUUUUCUUGCUGA